AGUGAACGCUGGCGGCGUGCUUAACACAUGCAAGUCGAACGAGAACGGAAUAUAGCUUGCUAUAUUUGUCAGCUAAGUGGCGCACGGGUGAGUAAUGUAUAGAUAACCUGCCCUUAAGAAAGGAAUAACAGUUGGAAACGACUGCUAAUGCCCUAUAUGCCUUUAAUACAUAAGCAUGCAAGGGAAACGCUUUAGUGCUUAAGGAUGGGUCUGUAUGGUAUCAGCUUGUUGGUGAGGUAAUGGCUCACCAAGGCUAUGACGCCUAACUGGUUUGAGAGGAUGAUCAGUCACACUGGAACUGAGACACGGUCCAGACUCCUACGGGAUGCAGCAGUGGGGAAUAUUGCACAAUGGACGAAAGUCUGAUGCAGCAACGCCGCGUGGAGGAUGACACAUUUCGGUGCGUAAACUCCUUUUAUAUAGGAAGAUAAUGACGGUACUAUAUGAAUAAGCACCGGCUAACUCCGUGCCAGCCGCCGCUGUAA
This 485-nucleotide ribosomal RNA is filed under the name uncultured bacterium. RNAcentral's name for it is "partial 16S ribosomal RNA". It matches the Rfam family "Bacterial small subunit ribosomal RNA", at positions 29 to 523 of the family's 1533-position model. The record is from RNAcentral.